Molecule: non-coding RNA, 940 nt
Organism: Callithrix jacchus (white-tufted-ear marmoset)
Lineage: Eukaryota; Metazoa; Chordata; Mammalia; Primates; Cebidae
Source: RefSeq, a predicted model, not a curated record
AUGAUGGGUGAAAAAGUUGAGAAGACAGAUACUAAGGAGAAGAAACCCAAAGCCAAGAAGGCUGAUGCUGGUGGCAAUCUCAAAAAGGGUAACCUCAAGGCUAAAAAGCCCAAGAAGGGGGAGCCCCACUGCAGCUGCAAUCCUGUCCUUGUCAGAAGAAUUGGCAGGUAUUCGCGAUCUGUCAUGUAUUCCAGAAAGCCCAUAUACAAGAGGAAUUACUCAGCUGUUAAAUCCAAGGUUGAAAGGAAAAAGAAGGUUCUUGCAACUGUUACAAAACCAGUUCCUGGUGGUGACAGGAAUGGCAGUACCUGGGUGGUUAAACUUCACAAAAUGCCUACGUAUUAUCUUACUGAAGAUGUGCCUCGAAAGCUGUUGACCAGAGCAAAAAACCCUUCAGUCAGCAUGUGAGAAAACUGGGAGCCAGCAUUACCCCUGGGACCAUUCUGAUCAUCCUCACCGGAUGCUGGUAAGAGGGUAAUUUUCCUGAAGCAGCUGGCUAGUGGCUUGUUACUCGUGACUGGACCUCUGGUCCUCAAUUGAAUUCCUCUACAAAGAACACACCAGAAAUUUGUCAUUGCCACCUCAAAUUUUGAUACCAAAAUUGAUAUCAGAGAUGUAAAAAUCCCAAAACAUCUCACUGAUGCUUACUUCAAGAAGAAAAACCUGCAGAAGCCCAAACAUCAGGAAGGUGAGAUCUUCCACACAGAAAAAGAGAAAUAUGAGAUUACAGAGCAGCACAAGAUUGAUCAGAAAGCUGUGGACUCACAAAUUUUACCAAAAAUCAAACCUCAGCUCCUGGGCUACCUGCAGUCUGUAUUUGCCCUGAUGAAUGGAAUUUGUCCUCACAAAUUGGUGUUCUAAAUGUCUUAAGAACCUAACUAAAUAGCUGACUACAAAAAAAAAAAAAAAAAAAAAAAAAAAAAAAAAAAAAAACUACAAA